AUCACUAACACUAAUAAAAUCAGAUGAUUUGAGGUUAGGUUUAUUUGACAUAACAUAAAUAUAUUUUUUUAAAAUGAAUUCUUGUUAAAUUGCUAAUAUUUUUAAACAUUUAUAAGAGUUUUCUAGCGUACCAGUGGAAUUUUUCAAUUGGUUGGCUAUUACGUAAAGUGCAGAUGUAUAACUAUAUUACUGUCGACAAUGCAAGAAAGUUACUGGAAUGUUAGUGUUUCACCGAAGAUUUUUCCAACUAAACAAUAUCCAUAUACUGUUAGGCCUAUUAUUUAUCGUCGGAUUUGUAAUUCAGUGCCGAUAUUUGUAUAGAAACCAUCAAAGAAAUUUAAGGAUUGCCGAGUAUAAGUCUAGGAUUAAUGAUCUGUCUACCAACAUGAAGAAAAUUGAGAAAAUAGCCAACCUUACCUCGGCAUCUUUGGAUAGUUUAGAGCAGAAAGUAUCAAAACGAAUUGUGCCACAUUCUAAAGUAAGUUGACCCUAUACUUCUCCAAGACUUACCUUUUUAUUAGUAGUUAGCGAGAAGAAAAUAAUAAGAUCUUCAAAGUACUUGUUACUUUUUUUCUUUGUUUAAAGAAAAAAUAUACUUUUACAGCGAACAGUUAAAUUUUGUUGAUUUUAAAAUUAUUCAAAAUACCAUCUUUGUUUUGUUGUAAUUGUAUGUUUUUUCUUGAGAUGGCCAGUUUAUUAUUACCAUAGUACAACUAAUAUAUUUACACCAAAUAAUUUCUAACCUAAGUAAAGUUUUGUUAUGGAAAAUAUAAUAAAAAACAUAUAUUUUGUUAUACCUAUUAUAUUUAGAUAGUUAGGGGAUCUUAAAAAUACUAAAAGAAUGUAGUUUCUAUAAGCUUAAAAAAUAUUAUAAAUGUACCUAGCACAAAAGAUAUUUUAUAGUCAAAAUUAUACAUGUUAUUCUAACAAACUAACUUUUACUGUUAUACUAAUUCCGUUUAAGAUUUUUUUUGUUAAUCAAUUGUUAUAUUACUAACAUUUAACGAAAGUAGAGUUGUUAAUAUGAUUAUAUAUUUUAUUUAUCGCCUGGUUUGUAUACAAGAUAUGUUUGUGUGACAAUAAAAUUGUUUAUUUUUCUUUCAAAUGC
Long non-coding RNA from Sitophilus oryzae (rice weevil), 1108 nucleotides. RefSeq lists it as uncharacterized. The record is from RefSeq and is a predicted model, not a curated record. The transcript is spliced from 2 exons. Lineage: Eukaryota; Metazoa; Arthropoda; Insecta; Coleoptera; Curculionidae.